RNAcentral lists this microRNA precursor (76 nucleotides) under Oryza sativa (Asian cultivated rice). RNAcentral's name for it is "miR5539a stem-loop (osa-MIR5539a, osa-MIR5539b)". The record is from miRBase by way of RNAcentral. Lineage: Eukaryota; Viridiplantae; Streptophyta; Magnoliopsida; Poales; Poaceae.
GAUUCAAAGCAAGAAAACGGAUGCGCGUGCUAACGCUUUCGCGCUAGUGCGCUCAAUCCGUUGCUUGUUUGGAACA